Oryzias latipes (Japanese medaka) is the source of this 310-nucleotide long non-coding RNA. RefSeq lists it as uncharacterized. Lineage: Eukaryota; Metazoa; Chordata; Actinopteri; Beloniformes; Adrianichthyidae. The record is from RefSeq and is a predicted model, not a curated record.
UUAAUAUAUAUUAUAUAAUGUCAGGAAAAUAUGUAAAACAACAAGGCUAAAUAUUUACUUUUAAUACUAAAAACACCCCGAGUGUGUGUUUUUGUUAACUAGGUCGGGGCAAGUAACGUUGCAAAUUCCCAGCGCACUUGAAUGCAGCACAACUACCCCCAAAGUGAACUUGCAGAUUAAUCCGGAGAGCCUCGAGGCGCGCGCAACAGUUUGAAUUUCUCUUCAUCUGGCAGAUCAGCUGUGGUGAAGAAGACAUUCCAGACGAAUCCACAGGAGAGUAAGCUAAAUUACAAACCCUGAAGAAGUCCUG